RNAcentral lists this long non-coding RNA (2538 nucleotides) under Sus scrofa (pig). Its description in RNAcentral is "lncRNA (ENSSSCG00050032660.1)". The record is from RNAcentral. Lineage: Eukaryota; Metazoa; Chordata; Mammalia; Artiodactyla; Suidae.
GUAGCGUCUGCGAGGAUCCUCGAGAGCAACUGGGAACCUAAUUCUGACCAACAAGGAGGAAUUGCUUGUCUAAUUGGAAGUGACAGAAACCUUGGGAGAAAACAACCACAUACCAAGGAUAAUUAUAAGAAGCAAUUACUAAGUGACUUCUGAUGUGCCAGGAAGUGUGCUGGGCUCCAGGGACACAAAACUGGAUAAGACAAGGCUUUAUACACAAGGAUUUCAAGUCUUUUUCCUCCAUAAGAAAUUAACUUUAGGGUGAAGAUGAUAAUGUAGAAGACAAAGAAGAGAGACUAAUAAAACAACAAACUUGUUUUGAUAUCUUUGAGUCAUUGAAUCAAACCAGUCCUGAAGACCACUCCAUCUAUAUUACUUUACAAUCAGUUGUGCUAGUCCCUUCAGUUUCUCAUCAAACCUCAUAUGAAUGGACAUUCAGAUCAAGUGGGUAUUUACCUGACUGCUACAAUCAAGAUUCUGCAAACCAGUGGCAAACAAGCACGUGGGAAUUCCAAAGCCAGGGAAGGAACCUGUACCACAGCAGCAACCCAAGCUACUGUAGUGACAACACUGGAUCCUUAACCCGCUUGCACCACAAGAAGAGAACUCCAAGGAUUGGUAUGAAAUGGAAGGAUAAGAUUCCUUUUAAGUUAGAGGAAAGAUGGAAAUAAUCUGAUAUGGACUAAGGACAAAGUUUAGAUACAUCCAAAUACACUGAAGUUAAGAUUAAGAAGAGGAAUUUAAAUUUCUUAAAAGGAUGAAAAAAUUAUAUCUACUUGGUAGUGAUUAUAAAAUUAUCCUCACAGCAAAAAUUUAAAGAAAUAUCUCAUGAGAGUAACCAUUAGUUACUGGUAAAAUGAAGAGCAUAAUCUAGUUUCUGGCAAAGGUAGCUUAAGCAGCUGGUAUUUUCAUGGGAAAAUACUCAUGUCUGGAUUACAACUGAGUUUGGAGAGACCUUUGAAAAUGUAAAGUGCUUUCAACCAGUCUUGGUAUAUUAUUUUGAUUAAAAAAUAGCCCCUUGGGUAAAAUGUAAAUAUAUUUUUUAAAAAAGUCAUGUUAGUAUAUUUUCUAGCAAAUUCAAAUAAUUGCUCAGAAGUACACUCAUCAGUAUUAGAAAUUAUUAGUAAUAAUGGCAAUUAAAUAUUUAUGUGAACAAUGAGCAUAAUUAUUUCCCUUUAAAAUUUACUUUGUAAUCAAGCAAGCAUAUGCUCCACCUGAUAUUAAACUGUGCACUGGUGAGUGAACAUUUUUCAUUUAAUAUCCUUAUUCACAUUUUUCUUGAUGCUUAUUUGUAUAUUUCUAUUGAUGUAAUAGUUUGCAAGAAAAAGAGCUCAUGUCUCUGCCUGAAGGUGGAAUCUUAUGAAUAUGCAAAUAAUGUUUUGAUGUGAUGAAGUUUUUUUUUGGAAUGGAACUGUGCUAUCUUAAGUUAUAUUGAAUAUUAGCCAUAGCUUAGAAGGACACAAAGCACACGAAGACUUGAGUUUUUAAAGAAAAAUAUUGAGAACUAGUUGCUUUCUGGUUAUAAAAUGCUAUAUUGUUGAAUCUUAUCUUCUCAAUUUAGGUUAAUGCUUUGCUAUAAAAAAAAAAACCCUGCCAUUUAAUUUUUAUUGUGUAGAAGAGUGGUGAACCAGUAAUAUGAAAAGAUGUAUGGAUUGUCUACCCUGUGUUAAAGUGUACUUCUUAAAAUGCAAAUUCUGGAACACAUCUUUUAAUAGUUUUAAUUUAACCUGGUAUGAUGUGUCCAGAUGGUUUAAACAUGUUCCUUUGGUAAACUGUGCAGAAUAAACCAGUUUUUCUUAUCAUCUUACACUUUAAAAAUAUUAUACUGGUGUUUAAUUUGAACCCUAGACAAAAAUCAUGCACAUAAACCCCCUGAAGUAUUAGGUUAGGGACAUGGAAAGACAACAGCCUUGGCCUCUGAAACUUUUAAUCAGUAUCUAGACAGGCCGUGUGUGUGUUUUCUAUUGAGGGUUAGAUUGGUCCUAAGUUCCAAACAUGAAACCAAUGACUCUCAAACUUUGGUCAGUAUCAGAAACACCUGGGGAUCUUGAUAAAGAUACAAAGGCCCAGGCCCUAGCUUAAUGAACCUAUACUACUGCAGUAUUUUUUGGCUUUCUGACAUUCUGAUGCACACCAAAGUUUAGGAACCACUACACUAGACAAAACCUUAAAUGAAAAUAUUAGGAUAAUGAAAGCAAAUCUAUGAUGUAAGUCAACCAGUUCUAAAAUAUUUGAAGUAUGAGUUCAAAUAGAAUAGUUAUAAUAGAAUAAUUUACAGUUAAAUAGAAUAAUAGUUGUAGUUAUAGUUAAAUAGAAUAAUAUUUUUAAAUAAAGAGAAGUGUAGGAUUUCUAAGUGUAGGACUUCUAUGAGGCAACAAUGAAGUUGUAUUUUUCUCAUUUUAAGAUUUUGGAAAUAGGAUUUCCAUCUGAGAUUAAAAUUAAUACAAAUUUACAAUUAAAGAAAGAGAUGAGGGCAUUAGAAGUAAUCCAAGAUACUAUAUCUAAAGGAGAGACAGAUUUGGAGCAUUUUGAAAACACCAA